RNAcentral lists this ribosomal RNA (445 nucleotides) under Gemmatimonadota bacterium. RNAcentral describes it as "partial 23S ribosomal RNA". It matches the Rfam family "Bacterial large subunit ribosomal RNA", at positions 2487 to 2925 of the family's 2925-position model. Lineage: Bacteria; Pseudomonadati; Gemmatimonadota. The record is from RNAcentral.
CGCGCCCGAGAGUUCACAUCGACGGCGCGGUUUGGCACCUCGAUGUCGGCUUAUCACAUCCUGGGGCUGGAGCAGGUCCCAAGGGUCCGGCUGUUCGCCGGUUAAAGUGGUACAUGAGCUGGGUUCAAAACGUCGUGAGACAGUUUGGUCUGUAUCCGCUGCGGGCGUUGGAGAGUUGAGGGGUGCGGACUCUAGUACGAGAGGACCGAGUCGGACAGUCCGCUCGUGUACCGGCUGUGACGCCAGUUGCAGCGCCGGGUAGCGAUGACUGGUGGCGAGAACCGCUGAACGCAUCUAAGUGGGAAAUGCCCCCCAAGAUGAACUCUCCCUCCUUCUUAAGAAGGCACAAGGGCCGGGGAAGACUACCCCGUCGAAUGGCCGCACGUGGAAGUGGAGCAAUUCAUUCCAAGCGAAGCGGUCCAUAUCGCCCGAGAGGCUUGACUCC